UGGCGAAAGGGGCGGUAAGGCAUGGGUAACCUACCUCGGGGACGAGGAUAGCCUUCCUAACGGAAGGGUAAUACUUGGCGAUCUGGCGGCGGGGCAUCCCGUUACCAGGAAAUGAAUUUCGCCUCGGGAGGGGCUCAUGUAGUAUUAGCUGGUUGGUGGGGUAACGGCCUACCAAGGCGAAGAUGCUUAGCGGGUGUGAGAGCACGACCCGCGCCACUGGCACUGAGACACUGGCCAG
This 238-nucleotide ribosomal RNA is filed under the name uncultured bacterium. RNAcentral describes it as "partial 16S ribosomal RNA". It matches the Rfam family "Bacterial small subunit ribosomal RNA", at positions 96 to 334 of the family's 1533-position model. The record is from RNAcentral.